UACGUAGGGUGCGAGCGUUAAUCGGAAUUACUGGGCGUAAAGCGUGCGCAGGCGGUUCGUUAAGUUCGAUGUGAGAGCCCCGGGCUCAACCUGGGAAUUGCAUUGGAAACUGGCGGGCUUGAGUGUGGCAGAGGGGGGUGGAAUUCCACGUGUAGCAGUGAAAUGCGUAGAGAUGUGGAGGAACACCGAUGGCGAAGGCAGCCCCCUGGGCUAACACUGACGCUCAGGCACGAAAGCGUGGGGAGCAAACAGG
RNAcentral lists this ribosomal RNA (253 nucleotides) under uncultured bacterium. RNAcentral describes it as "partial 16S ribosomal RNA". It matches the Rfam family "Bacterial small subunit ribosomal RNA", at positions 524 to 776 of the family's 1533-position model. The record is from RNAcentral.